This is a non-coding RNA of Paramuricea clavata, 436 nucleotides long. NCBI's taxonomy places the organism in Eukaryota, Metazoa, Cnidaria, Anthozoa, Malacalcyonacea, Plexauridae. The record is from the annotation of a GenBank genome assembly.
UAUCUUUACGACCGUUGCGACCAUAUAGAAACCGGGCUUUACUGAGCCUUGCUUGAGUGAUGAUUUGAAUAAAACCUUGAACAGAGACUUGGUACGAAACAUAGCUAUUUUACUACAUUAUAGAUGGUAUCGAGUUUCGUUACGUUCUAACUGUGACCUUCACUGGGCUUCAAAACUGAAAUAUCAACACUACAAGGACAUCUGGAUUAAUCCUUACCAAAAUCUAGGAUUUGCCCAGGCAGAGAAUAUUUACCAAUUUAAAGAUAAUUGCGCAGACCACGGCAGGCGGAUCAUAUUGCAAAGUGACAGCAGUAAUGGUGAACGCGAAUUCUCAAGCUUGCUGAUAAACAACACCAUGAUUGCACAAUUAUUUUCUGGCGUGAUUGUAAUAUGCUUGAUUCUGUUUUCGGGCAGAGUAACUUCGUUUUGCGGUAAG